GAUCAUGUAUAACUUCUUAGAUAAGAUCUCAACUUUCAGUGACUUUUGAAUUUUUUGAGCCAAAAUUUUUUAAAAAAGAUUUAGUUAUAAUUCACUUUUGUAGAAUCCGGCUACUAUCCUAUUAAUAGGAUAAAGACCAUCGUCCUAUCAAGUCGUUCUCGAUGAUAGAGAUGCUGAAUCGAUGAUCGGAACCAUUAAAGUUGGUCUAGAGUAUUUGAAAUAUAUAGAAACUAAAUUUCAGAUAUUUUAAAAAUCGUUUAUAUGGUGAUCAAAGGAUCGUAAAAUUGACAAUUUUUGACGGCCUAGAUGAGCCGUUUGCUUGUUUAACGGUACAGAGCAAUCCAAACUACUUGAAUUUUUGAUAGAAAAUUUUUUAUACUAUUUAGAUAAUAUUUGAUAACUCUGAUCAUGAUUUGAAAAAGUCUAACUUCUAUUUUAAGAAGGUUAUUCAUUUAUGACCGUUUAUUUUUUCGACUCUUUGAUAGACUUGAUAAUGAUUUUUAAAAAUUAUAAAAUUCGGUUUUUAAAUAUUUUUUAUAGUGUAGAUCAAUUUCAACGGUACCGAUUAUUAAUUUGAAAUGUCAAUCAUUGAAAACGACUUGAUAGGACAAUAGUCCCAAUCCUAUUAAUAGGAUAGUAGCCGGACUCCACUUUUGUAAAGUGAUUUUAUAUUCACUUCCGCAAACUAAACAACCGAUAAGACAUUACUUUUCAAAAGUGCCACUUUUGGUACUUUACUUUCAGCCAAUCAACCAUGCUCUAAAUUUAA
RNAcentral lists this long non-coding RNA (769 nucleotides) under Ananas comosus (pineapple). Its description in RNAcentral is "long non-coding RNA (ACOM_LNC001822)". Lineage: Eukaryota; Viridiplantae; Streptophyta; Magnoliopsida; Poales; Bromeliaceae. The record is from RNAcentral.